RNAcentral lists this ribosomal RNA (460 nucleotides) under uncultured bacterium. RNAcentral describes it as "partial 16S ribosomal RNA". It matches the Rfam family "Bacterial small subunit ribosomal RNA", at positions 338 to 795 of the family's 1533-position model. The record is from RNAcentral.
CCUACGGGGGGCAGCAGUGAGGAAUAUUGGUCAAUGGACGCGAGCCUGAACCAGCCAAGUCGCGUGAAGGAUGACUGUCCUAUGGGUUGUAAACUUCUUUUAUAUGGGAAUAAAAUGUUCCACGUGUGGGAUUUUGUAUGUACCCUAUGAAUAAGGAUCGGCUAACUCCGUUCCAGCAGCCGCGGUAAUUCGGAGGAUCCGAGCGUUAUCCGGAUUUAUUGGGUUUAAAGGGAGCGUAGGUGGAUUGUUAAGUCAGUUGUGAAAGUUUGCGGCUCAACCGUAAAAUUGCAGUUGAAACUGGCAGACUUGAGUACAGUAGAGGUAGGCGGAAUGCGUGGUGUAGCGGUGAAAUGCUUAGAUAUCACGAAGAACUCCGAUUGCGAAGGCAGCUCACUGGACUGCAACUGACACUGAGGCUCGAAAGUGUGGGUAUCAAACAGGAUUAGAUACCCCAGUAGUC